This is a long non-coding RNA of Balaenoptera musculus (blue whale), 1176 nucleotides long. RefSeq lists it as uncharacterized. The transcript is spliced from 4 exons. The record is from RefSeq and is a predicted model, not a curated record. NCBI's taxonomy places the organism in Eukaryota, Metazoa, Chordata, Mammalia, Artiodactyla, Balaenopteridae.
GUCAACAUCUAAAUUUAGGAGAUUGCAUAUAUGUACACACAAAAAUCUGUCUUCUCUUGAAAAAUUAGAAGAUUUGGCAAUAUUGGGUCUGCAUGGUGAAUUGUUUGAAGUAGAAUAGUGGCUGCCCAUUUAAAACAGUCGACAAAUAUAAUUAAAGAAAACAGCCUAGAUGCCCUAUGAAAUAAACCACUGGAAGAACAAAGACCAGGGAUGUGGAAGAGAUGUGAUCAAAACCUAAUGUACUGCCAAGAGAACUGAAAUGUCAACAAGCAGAAAUUGCUUUCUGCUGGAAGUUAAAAGUGGAAUACAUCACAGACGCAGAGCUCACCACCUGUAAGCUGGAUCUCCUCCUAGGGUUUGGACCACAGAGUGUUCCAGGUGCUGUUUGAUGAAUUGGACACAUAACACGGCAGUCUCCUCACGGCAGGUUAUGCUGUUUUAAUUCCUGACUUGUCUGGAAAGCCACGGGCUCUACCUGGAGGGUUGCUCGAGGCUGGAAAAAGACCUUUUAGGCUGUAAAACCAAAGGCAAUGAUGGGGUGCGAGAAAAUCGCUUUUCAGGGUCCCUUGCCGAAUCCGGCUCGUUGAAUAAACCUGGUACAAGAUGAUUUUGGGGGAGAGGGGAUUUCAAAAUUCUACUGAUUCACCCCAUGAACUAAAAAGACCCUCUUCCUAGAAGGGGAGAGGCGGCUGAGUGCUGAGCCGUCUGCACCCGGAGGCCGAGCAGUGGGGAGGCCUCCGGAAGCCCGUGGUUUUCCCUAUUUUCUCAGGAACACCGGAUGAUUUUUCUCUUACCUAGACAUUUGUGGGAGGAGGUAGAGGAAGGGAAGAAGAGAAAAGAGUGGGAAAAGGCUGGAAGGACCCGGACUGAAUUACUGGCACUCACAUAGGGAAAAAGAAGUAGACGGUCUUUCCAGUCUGUGCUGGCAGGAAAAGCCAGGGCAUAUGGCUCCACAGGAAGGGGUGCAGCUCACACCUCUGCAGCUCCGAAUCCAACCAACAUGCUUCCCAACGUGUAAAUGUAUGGCUGCCCAAACCCAGAAACCAUCGCCAGAAAACUUCCGUGGGCUUCUUGAGGACACCAGGGAGAUAGCGAAACCCCAGUUUGUCCCCUUGUGGCUGGACAAGCCUGCUUCCUUCACUCCUGGGACCUGCAACACAGUGGACCAGGCCAUAG